AGAGGAGAGGAUAGGUGGAGAGGAAACAAACAGGUCGAAGAGGCAGUGAUGGAGCCAGUAAAGGUGCCUGUUAAUGAUGAAAGAUUUGCUGUAUUACAAUAAUCGUGGGGGACUUCACAAUGCAGGUGGACUGGGAAAAUCAGUUUAGAUUUUCUCUGUGCUGAUCUGUUAUAUGGAAUUAGGAGCAUGAUGUCCUUGGAAAAAAUUAUAUGGAAAAAAUGAAGUCGCACAAAAUAAUAAAUCAGAACAAAUCCAUGAAUUAAAUAUUGAUUUCUGCAUA
This is a long non-coding RNA of Rhincodon typus (whale shark), 280 nucleotides long. RefSeq lists it as uncharacterized. The transcript is spliced from 3 exons. The record is from RefSeq and is a predicted model, not a curated record. Lineage: Eukaryota; Metazoa; Chordata; Chondrichthyes; Orectolobiformes; Rhincodontidae.